Molecule: ribosomal RNA, 497 nt
Filed under: uncultured bacterium
Lineage: Bacteria
Description: partial 16S ribosomal RNA
Rfam family: Bacterial small subunit ribosomal RNA
Source: RNAcentral
GAUGAACGCUGGCGGCGUGCCUAAUACAUGCAAGUCGAGCGAACAGACGAGGAGCUUGCUCCUCUGACGUUAGCGGCGGACGGGUGAGUAACACGUGGAUAACCUACCUAUAAGACUGGGAUAACUUCGGGAAACCGGAGCUAAUACCGGAUAAUAUAUUGAACCGCAUGGUUCAAUAGUGAAAGACGGUUUUGCUGUCACUUAUAGAUGGAUCCGCGCCGCAUUAGCUAGUUGGUAAGGUAACGGCUUACCAAGGCAACGAUGCGUAGCCGACCGGAGAGGGUGAUCGGCCGCCCUGGAACUGAGACACCGUCCAUGCUCCUACGGGAGGCAGCAGUAGGGAAUCUUCCGCAAUGGUCGAAAGCCUGGCGGAGCGACGCCGCGUGAGUGAUGAAAGUCUUCGGAUCGUAAAGCUCUGUUAUUAGGGAAGAACAAAUGUGUACGUAACUAUGCACGUCUUGACGGUACCUAAUCAGAAAGCCCCGGCUAACUACGUG